GACAAUAAAAUGACAAAAAUUCCAAGAAAUAACUUCUUAAAUUUAAUUUAAUACUCAACGAUAUUUAGCAAACAAUUCUUAUUGUUUCUCAAACAUUUUUUAGUUUAAAAUUAAUGUGUAAACAAAUAACAAAACCUUUUUAGAAGGGCAUCGAACCAAUCAAAGCCUAGACUUACCCCCAGAUUAUCAAAAAUUAAGAAGCUAGAAUAGGUAAUUGUAGUCUUUGCGUUGACAGUUCUACAUUCGACGACAAGUUCUUCAAGUAAUUACUUCCUGUCUUCUCACAAGCUAUUAAUUCAUCUAGUGCUUAAAUACUUCAUAAUUCAAGAUGCAGAGUCUUAAUUUAAUGUGUUUAUUAUUUGUAAUAAUCAACAUAAAUUUAAUUUUUGGGUUUCCUCCGUUUUCCAGUCACGGCCAUGAGUAUGAAGUAAAUUACUCCCAAGGAGGAAAACAUAUGAUAACAAUUAUAAAUGGUGCGAAAAAAGAAAUAAUAACUGCUGACGAGACAUUAAGCGGCUAUAACACCGAGUUUUUCACUGAUGAGAUUGAAAAGUUUCCAGAUUUAUUAACGUCUCUUGAAUACACGCUAGCUGACUUAAAAUUCUUGAACAAAGGAGACACGCAAUACUUCUACAUACCACCUUUGCCAAAUAAUGAUGACAGUAUUAAUGAAAAAGUAAAUUCAAAUAAUGAGAUUAAAUUUCCAUUAAAUUUUUACGACAAACAGAAUUUUGAGACUAAUAAAAUUUUAGAAUUACAAGAUAUGAUAGAUUUUAAAAAUUCUGAGGGAAAAGACAUAAUAAUAGAUUACGUCGAUGAUUAUUGGAGGCCUUCAUUAAACUUUGGAAAUUUUUAUGAUCGGAAAACUUUACAAGACGUCGUUCCAAUAUCAAAACGCGACACUUAUCAGAUUACUGCAUCUCCCGAAUUUGUUUUUGAAGAACCCGAUUAUACUAACUACAAUAAUUACAUGAAGCAAUUAGAAAUUGAUACACAAAAAGAAAAAUAAAAAUUGAAUAAUUUAGUUACGAAUGAGGAAGAAAAGUCUCAAAAAUUCGAAAAAAAUCCGAUUAAACCGAUAAUAGACAAAAGUUGUGAUGAUGGAAGAAAAAACUUGGAAGUUGAUUGGGACGGCUCUAAGGGUGAUUAAGAGUGCAAUGCUGAUGUUGAAAUACCAGCAAACCAUCGUCCUUCGACUUUGUACUGUGAUCCAUCAGCUUCAGUUGUACAGCCAAAAACUCGUUGUUUGAAUGAAACAUUAGAAUACAGCGAGUUAAUUCCUGUUAUUGGUGACUACCGUCCAAUUGCCCCGCAAUUAGGAGAGUACAAAUUUAUUCCUAAACAACGAUGGCUCAAUAGUUUAGACAAUGACGCAGUAGUGUUACUAUAUCAUCCGUAUGCUGAGAGAUCUGCAAUUAAUAAGCUGAGAUUACUGAUAAUGAAAUACUACGAACGUUAUAUUUUCACUCCAUACAACUUGGAACAAAUAGUGCCGUUCGCUAUAGUGGUCAAAGGAUGUCGUUUAGUAAUGUCACACGUGGUACCAAAUGAAGUGGCGCACUUUUUACAGAACCAUGGACCUAAAAAAGUACCAUUGGGAAAGCCAAAUGACAAAAAACCGAAAUAUAAUUUGGGACUGAUUGAAGAAAACCGACCUCAUCAUCUCUUUGGACUCAUUUAUCAAUUAUCAUAAUAAGUUUACAUGAUUCUAUUAUAAUAAUAAUAACUACAAUUAUUAUUAUCAUUA
Molecule: RNA transcript, 1747 nt
Organism: Cotesia glomerata
Lineage: Eukaryota; Metazoa; Arthropoda; Insecta; Hymenoptera; Braconidae
Exons: 7
Source: RefSeq, a predicted model, not a curated record